Long non-coding RNA from Motacilla alba alba, 4146 nucleotides. RefSeq lists it as uncharacterized. NCBI's taxonomy places the organism in Eukaryota, Metazoa, Chordata, Aves, Passeriformes, Motacillidae. The record is from RefSeq and is a predicted model, not a curated record. The transcript is spliced from 3 exons.
AAAUACACAUUGGAAUGCCACUUAGUGCAGGGCAUGUUGAACACACAGGGCCAGAAGCAGAAUUCUCCCUCAUCUUCAGCUGGUUCUUUGCAUUACUUUCUGUGACCAAGAGUUGUAUCGUUCUGAAUUACACCAGUUAAUGCCCUGUGUUCUUCGCACACUUACUCGACUUCUGUGCAAGAACAUUCAAGAGAAAUAAGAAUUGCUGAAGCACUGUCCCACCUCAUUUACUUAUCUGAUGUCUGUUCUCAUCACUACUCCACAAAAGGAAAUUACUGGUCAUGGGAUUGGAAUACUGCAGGAUAAAAAUACCUUCCCUUAUUUCUGUAGUCACAUGCUUUCUCAUUUCCCUGGCCUGUUGGCUGAAAUGACUUUUUUUAAGGCCAGCCAGCCUAACUUGGUAGCUAUUCUGGAUAAUAGGCACUGUCCUGAAAAAGGAAAGCCAGACCAGGGCUGUACACUGCAGCGUCUCCUCAUUGUAGGAGAAGCAACAUUUCUCAUUGUGAGCCUUCCUUGAUCAAGGCCAUGGGAGAGCCAGCCCCAGAGCAGCCCUGCCAAGAAUCUGCAGAUGAGGAAGCCACUAAAGGUCCUUCAAAACACUGAAGUUCUUCCAGCCCUGGCACUCUUCCUGCUCUGCAUCUUCCAUCCUGAAUGCUUUCCAGAGCUACUGGUUUUCUUCUUUUCCUGUGAAGAGGCAGCAAGCAGAGCUUGUUCCUGUUUUACCUUAGAGUUGAGACAGCAAAUGUCAAGAGACCACUUCUGCUUUGGGAAUGCCUGAGCUACAAGCUGGCAGGAGACACGGGCAGAUCUGAGCACAGCAGCUCCAUAGGCUUGUCCAGGAGUAUGCUUGUCCGCUACCAUCCCCACUCUGUCAUUCUUGGAGACAAAACUUUGGGAUGAAUAAUCCUAUCAUGUGUUCCAGGGAGAAGAGCUGCAACAAACUGCAAACUGAACCAAACUCACCACAGAACUAGAUUUUCUACUUUCAGCCAGGCCAACAGAGUUGGUUCCUUGGAGUGCCACUUAACUAUUUGUUUAUUUGGGGAAGAAUUUAAGAAUGAGGACUCUCCAGGAUUUACUCACACAAAAGUGGCUUUGGGGUUUUCUGAACUGAAAAAGGAAUAUGUCUUGAUUUCUUUAGUCCUCAAAUGAACAGAGCAUUAGAAAGAUAAAGCUAUUCUUUCUAGGCAUUAUUAUAGUUUAUAGCAGCUGUGUGUAGUUAAGUGCUUUUCCAGAGUCUUACUCAUGGCUUGUUUUCUAACAAAAUACUUUCUGAUUCUGAUACCUCCUUUCAGGAUUAAUUAGCACUAUGACAUCUUUCCCUUGUAAGACAGAUGUGUUCCUUCUGAAAUGCAAAGACUAUUCAGUGCAUCUUACCCCAACAAACACAGCACUAGAACUCAUGCCCAGUCAAGGCAUGAGAUGCUGCUUCAUUACAAAUGCACAAACUCAUACUGGGUGACUGAAGAACAUGUAACACUGUCCUAUUUCUUACCCUGUUUUAGCCAACACACUAUGUUUUCAGAACAUCAGUUCUGAUGAAAACCGGGAAUUAAACUGCUCUAAUCCAAAACUACCAUUGCUGGUUGAAUCAGUUCUACAAACCAAAUGCACACCUGAACAAGUCAGAACAAUUUUUGUCUUAUAACCUGUGGAUAAACUGGAGAUUGGCAAAUAUCUUAGAGACAGGUUGGACUAGUCCAAGAGGAAACCCUUACAUUAAGAUUUCUCUGUGAAGACGUCUUCAUGGGCAGUAUGUCUCUAAACCUCCAUGGCAGAGCAGGCUGAACAGGUCAUACAUCUCCACUUAGACUGAGCUGGAACAUUCUCCCAGAUUCUGCUGACAGUUAUCGAUUACACCUCUUGAUUUAAAUGAGAGCUUAUAAGCUUAAUAUAUGUAUUGAGACAUGCAGAAAGACGUUUCAAAUCAGAUGUUUUACUCUGCAGUGAAAUCACCUCCACAGAUGUGGCUGUUUCUCUGGGAAUGUUGACUGGGGGCUUUGACUCAGCAGGGCGUGGUUCACAAAUGCUCUCAUGAUGCUCCUGAAUGGGUGAGCAUGUGCUUCACAGCACUUCAGAUAAAAAUUACAUGUUCAGACCACAUUCUGUCAAAAAUCGUAUUUUGGCUAAAUAGAUACUUUUGGUGUAUCUCCCCCAGACAUUACUUUGCUUAUUUUUCUCACCUUGCCAGUAUUAAUAAAAAAAAAAAAAAAAAGCAAGACAGUUGUUUUGGUUUUUUUUAAUCAAAACAGUAGAGUCUUUGGAAAAGGGACCAGAACUCAUUCCUAGCUGAGGAAUGAGGAUUUUUAACCUGAAGGCUGCAGAGUCUCCUGCAGUGUGCUCUCUCUGGCCUUGUGAAUUUUGGACAGCUUCAAAUGGGGAGAGUGGAACAGCUCGACGUAGUCUAGUCUGACAGCAGGGUACUCUCUGGGAUGACUAGAGGUGUGCUUGCAAACUCCUGCAGAUCUAGACACAAUAUGAACUCAGAUGUCUCAGCUCCUGCAGCACUUCACAUCAUGGUUCCAAAUUGUGGCAUGUGGCACCUCUUUGGAUCACACCCAAAAAGGUGUUUUGACUACUGUGGCUACCACGAUGAGGCACAAACUCUCUACGGGCAUUGGCCAACAACACUGUGCAAGAGAAUAUGGAUUCCACGGUGUAAAUCCACAAGGAGUGCACACUGUGAAUGUGAAUCCAUCCUUGUUUUUCCCAUCUCAAAAAUAAUUCAAUAAAAUUGCAGGCUGCACCCCAGGACAAGACCAAGGUCUCUGUGGCUCGUGCAGGUCAGUGUUGGAAGGCCCUGCUACAGGCUGCUGUGGAAGCUGAAGGUAGUCAAGAGGAGAUGGAGCCAGUAAAUUUCAAGAUACCACUUCUGGCUUGGGGAGUCCCUGAGCCGCAAGCUUGUGGGAAACACGGGCAGAUCUGAGUUAAGUGUCUCCACAGGCUCAUCCAGUACCCACAACCAUCCCCCUUGGUCACUCUUAGACACAUGGUAUUGGGACGGUCCAUCCUGGCUUUUGUUCCACUUUGGCUACUUCUCUGCUGUACCCCCAUGCAAAGUGUUUGUGAGUUCUGACUUGUAGGUAGGUGUGUAAUGCUUUGUGCCUCCAGAUUGGUCAUCAAAGUUAUUCCCUGAGGCCAAAUUCAAGAGAUAUUCUGAUCUGCUCAAUGUGUCACUGUGGCAUGCAAUUGUUUCUUUUUAAUAAGUGAGAUAACAAAAGGUGAGAGUCCAGAUAAGACAAGAAAGGCACAGAAAGAGAAACAGAGAGGAGAUGAAUGGGGAGAGGAGGGGAUGAUAGUGCAAACCUUUUAAGUGGACAAGUUCCUAGGGUAGGAUACAUAAUGUUUUCCCUUCGAGUAGGGCACAUAGGAAACUUUUCUAAAAAUUACAGAAAAUUCCCAUUAUAGUCUCAACCAGUUAUUAAACUUUCUGCUAAAUUUAAAGAAUUAAAAAAAAAUCAAUCAAACAGAACAACAAAACAGCCUCUCUUUGUCUUGUGUCCUUACACUCUGGGGAAGGUAACAGCAUUGGGGAAGCUGCUGAUGCUAGGUGUUGCCUAACGCAGCAAUACUGCAGGAGAAAACAGAUCAGCAAUGUUUAUCUCUGGAAUGACAUCUGCCUUUAGAGAAAAGAAGAACAAAGUCAGAGAUUAAAAGAGGGAUUGAAAAAAAGCAGAUGAAACUUGGGGAAAGUAUUUUAUGGCAGACUAAAUUAAGACCUAUGAAUAUAGAAUCAGAUUACAGAGAAAACCCACACCAGUAGCAGUUCUGAAGUCCUCUAUGAUUGAUUUUUCUGUUUAAGUCACAUACAUGUUUAAAACUAGACAACUAAUUUGCUCUUUUAUAGGUGUGAGCUUGAAAGAAGUACAGUAUAUUUAGCAGUAAUUUACGGGUAUUACUACCUUUGUUCCUCUUCCCCACUUUGCAUAGGUCACCUUGAACAUCCACAGCAUUAUGGAACCUCUCAGUGAGUUGUGGUACUUGACGGGCACAGGCUGUUUUCAAUUGGUUUCUUCCAUGGAAGUUAUGGAUAUGUACCAGCUAUGAACCUGGCUGAGUGCAGCCAGCAGUAAACUAGAUUGGUGAAAGUUCUCCAAGUUUAAAGACAAACUGUUUCAGUUUAGCUUCAGAAGCAACAUUUUAGUA